UGAUGUUUGAACAACGCAUUGAUUUAGGAAUUUUGUUAUGAAGCAAUUAGCAUUUCCAUUUGUAGUAGCUAUACUUGACAAUGGAGUCUCGCUAACGCCUAAUCUAAGUUGAUUGCUUGUUUUUGAAUUAAGGGAGCAAGCUGUAAAUUUGUUGUUCAAUAGAUUUCUUUUGUCAAUUUUUCAUGUUUGAAAUGAAAGGUUUAAAAGAAAUAGAAAUCAAG
Molecule: unclassified non-coding RNA, 221 nt
Filed under: Hevea brasiliensis (rubber tree)
Lineage: Eukaryota; Viridiplantae; Streptophyta; Magnoliopsida; Malpighiales; Euphorbiaceae
Source: RNAcentral